CCUACGGGGGGCAGCAGUGGGGAAUAUUGCACAAUGGGCGAAAGCCUGAUGCAGCGACGCCGCGUGAGGGAUGACGGCCUUCGGGUUGUAAACCUCUUUCGCUCAUGGUCAAGCCGCAACAUUGGUUGUGGUGAGGGUAGUGGGUAAAGAAGCGCCGGCUAACUACGUGCCAGCAGCCGCGGUAAUACGUAGGGCGCGAGCGUUGUCCGGAAUUAUUGGGCGUAAAGGGCUUGUAGGCGGUUGGUCGCGUCUGCCGUGAAAUCCUCUGGCUUAACUGGGGGCGUGCGGUGGGUACGGGCUGACUUGAGUGCGGUAGGGGAGACUGGAACUCCUGGUGUAGCGGUGGAAUGCGCAGAUAUCAGGAAGAACACCGGUGGCGAAGGCGGGUCUCUGGGCCGUUACUGACGCUGAGGAGCGAAAGCGUGGGGAGCGAACAGGAUUAGAUACCCCAGUAGUC
RNAcentral lists this ribosomal RNA (457 nucleotides) under uncultured bacterium. RNAcentral's name for it is "bacterial SSU rRNA". It matches the Rfam family "Bacterial small subunit ribosomal RNA", at positions 338 to 795 of the family's 1533-position model. The record is from RNAcentral.